UGGCGUCAUAUGGUCACGUGGGCGGCUAAGCGCUCGGCGGUUGUGUCCCUUCCUUGGCAAGGAUUGCGGUUUCCGCAAGUUCCGUGGCUGUUCACGUCAUCUUUGAUAAAGUUUUGUUUUUGUUUUUAAAUCAAACCAGAUGAGCGAGAAGACUGCAAGCACUGUUUACCAGACAUUCCACAGGAUGCAGGAAGCUAUGAGGAUCAGGAGGAUGGCGAGGAGUCCGGCAAACCCAGAAAAGACGGUGCUGCUCUGGUCUUUAUCUCUAGGAGAAAAACCAAGUUCCAUUGUCCCAGCUGGCCAUAGGACGCCUGCAUAACACAUCUCAAACCGGAAGAGAACUCCAGUCCUCCCUCCCCAGACCAGCUCUUCCUCUCGUGUUUCCUGUAAUCCAGUGGCCGUCAGAAACCUCGACGUCAUUCUCGAUUGCACUCUUCGUGCCCCAGCACAUUCUGCCUGCUUUACCCUGGGCACAGGCAUCUACCCAUCCCAGUCGCCUCCUGUUCCUCCGCUGUCACCAGUGUGCGUCCCCCGUGGGCGCUGCAGUAACCCCGCUAAUGGCUCUCUUGGCUUUUACUCUCCCCUGGCACACCACCUUCACGUGGGAGCCAGGGCGAUGGCUGAAAGCAGUCAGAUCAUGUCCCUCCUCCGCUCGUAGCAGAUGGCUUCCCACCACACUUUAGGUCUGCAGUCCUAGCCCGGAGAAGACUAUGGCACCCUGGGAUCUGCCCUCUGCCUACCUCUGGACCUCUUUCCUGUCGCUCUGCCUUGGACUUUGGCUGCUGGCGCUCCUUGCAGUUGUGUCCAGGCAAAGCACAGUUCUUCUCAGAUCGGUCCCUCCUCCCCAGGCCCGUCCUCCGGUAGCUGUCUGCGUGGCUCAUUCCAUUCAAGUCUCCUCUGAAAUGUCACCUCCUCAGAUAAGACUCCCCGGCCUCGCUCAAUUAUUCACAGCUCCCUUAAUGCUGCUCUAUUUCUUCCUUCAAAAUAGUUUGAUAGAUUGAUAUACUACGCAUUCAUUUGUUUAUGUGUUUGUCAUCUGUCCAGAAACUUCAGGAUAUCUUGGGCUGUCUGUCUUGUUCACGUAGUAUCUUAAACAGUGCCUGGUACUUAGUAGGAGCCUGAUGAAUAUUCAUGAAAUAAAUAAAUAGAUGAAAUACUUCUACUAUUACUGCUACUAAUAGUAAUAAUCAUAAUCAUAGCAGAAGUUAUGGAAAUCGUUUUGAGGGUAUUAGAGCUACUAUGGAAAACAGUAUAGAAAUCCUUCAGAAAAUUAAAACUAGAGCUAUUGUAAGAUCUGCCACCAUUCUCACUGCUGGGUAUAUAGCCAGGGUGAGUGAGACCGGUGUGUCUGCCCUCCCAGGCCUUCUAGAGGUCAGUAUGGCUGUGUGCACAGCAUGGAAGCAACCUCAGUGCCAGUCAGCACUGAGUGGGUAAGGAAAAUGUGGUACUCAUACUCAGUGGAUACUGCUGUCAUUUGGGACGGCAUGGGUGGCCCUGGGGGACAUUAUGCUAAGUGAAGUAAACCAGGCCCAGAAAGACAGGCGCUGCGCGAUUUCACCUACAUAGAGAAUCUAAAAAGAGCUGAACUCACGUUAAGUCGAUAGUGGUUGCUGGAGGAUGCGAGGGCAGAGAUGUUUAUCAAAGGAUACAAAAUUUCACUUAAAAGGAACAAAUUCAACAUCUCUGUUGUGCAACACAGUUUUGUUGAAAGCUCCUAUGGUCCUGUUGACCACUGUUUAGUGUAGAUCUCAAGCGUUACACACAUCACACACACACACGUGCACGUGCACAAUAUGUGAAGUAAUGUGUAUAUUACCUACUUAAGUUAGCAAUUCUAUAAUAUAUACGUAUUUCAAAACAGCAUGUUGUGCACAAUAAAUACAUACAAUUUUUUUCAACUGGAAAAUAAAAUUAAUAUUUUUUUAGGGGAUGCUUCAGUUUUCUUUUACGAAUACACUCCUUAUCAAUGCCUGUGUUUACCUACAAGUAAC
Fukomys damarensis (Damara mole-rat) is the source of this 1991-nucleotide long non-coding RNA. RefSeq lists it as uncharacterized. NCBI's taxonomy places the organism in Eukaryota, Metazoa, Chordata, Mammalia, Rodentia, Bathyergidae. The record is from RefSeq and is a predicted model, not a curated record. The transcript has 3 exons.